GGCGUAAAGCGUGGUUAAGGGCCAACUUUUCUACUAAAGCCGAACGCUUUUAGAGCAGUUAUACGCACUGAGAGUAAGAAGAUCAAUUACGAAAGUAGCUUUAUUCAAACCUGACCCCACGAAAGCUAAGGCACAAACUGGGAUUAGAUACCCCACUAUGCUUAGCCUUAAACAUAGACAGUUGUUUACCCACACUGUCCGCCCGGGUACUACGAGCAUUAGCUUGAAACCCAAAGGACUUGGCGGUGCUUUAGACCCACCUAGAGGAGCCUGUCCUAGAACCGAUAAUCCCCGUUCAACCUCACCCUUCCUAGCCUUUAUCAGCCUAUAUACCGCCGUCGUCAGCUUACCCUAUGAAGGUACUAAAGUAAGCAUAAUUGGCACUGCCUAAAACGUCAGGUCGAGGUGUAGCCUAUGGAAGGGGAAGAGAUGGGCUACAUUCCCUACCCCAGGGAACACGAAUGGCACAUUGAAAUGUGUGUAUCUGAAGGAGGAUUUAGUAGUAAGCAGAGAAUAGAGUGUCCUGCUGAAC
RNAcentral lists this ribosomal RNA (532 nucleotides) under Morone chrysops (white bass). RNAcentral describes it as "partial 12S ribosomal RNA". It matches the Rfam family "Bacterial small subunit ribosomal RNA", at positions 557 to 1367 of the family's 1533-position model. Lineage: Eukaryota; Metazoa; Chordata; Actinopteri; Moronidae. The record is from RNAcentral.